AUGUUCCGAUUUUCCGCAUGGAUUUUCGGGAAAGUGUUAGCGGUAUGAGAUGGUGUCGCGUCCUAUCAGCUUGUUGGUGAGGUAAUGGCUCACCAAGGCUUUGACGGGUAGCCGGCCUGAGAGGGCGACCGGCCACAUUGGGACUGAGAUACGGCCCAGACUCCUACGGGAGGCAGCAGUGGGGAAUAUUGCACAAUGGGGGAAACCCUGAUGCAGCGACGCCGCGUGCGGGAUGACGGCCUUCGGGUUGUAAACCGCUUUUAAUUGGGAGCAAGCGAGAGUGAGUGUACCUUUUGAAUAAGCACCGGCUAACUACGUGCCAGCAGCCGCGGUAAUACGUAGGGUGCAAGCAUUAUCCGGAAUUAUUGGGCGUAAAGAGCUCGUAGGCGGUUUGUCACGCCUGGUGUGAAAGUCCAUCGCUUAACGGUGGAUCUGCGCCGGGUACGGGCAGGCUAGAGUGCAGUAGGGGAGACUGGAAUUCCC
RNAcentral lists this ribosomal RNA (483 nucleotides) under Bifidobacterium sp. WKA. RNAcentral describes it as "bacterial SSU rRNA". It matches the Rfam family "Bacterial small subunit ribosomal RNA", at positions 173 to 671 of the family's 1533-position model. RNAcentral also lists the same sequence under 1 other name. The record is from RNAcentral. Lineage: Bacteria; Bacillati; Actinomycetota; Actinomycetes; Bifidobacteriales; Bifidobacteriaceae.